Non-coding RNA from Kogia breviceps (pygmy sperm whale), 205 nucleotides. The record is from RefSeq and is a predicted model, not a curated record. NCBI's taxonomy places the organism in Eukaryota, Metazoa, Chordata, Mammalia, Artiodactyla, Physeteridae.
CGGGAGAGUGCGCGCCGCCGCUUGAGGCAGUGUCCCCAGCCCGCCGCUCGCUCCGCAUUUUGCGGUUUUGCCGGCUCUGCAAUGAGGGAUCAAGAUGAGGAUCAAAUGUCACGCGGUUUGUGAAUUGUAACCCGCUGUGCCUAGGUAUUAGAACUAGUUCAGGAUCUCAGUCCGUGGGCAGAAGCACAAAUGGGGAGUAGAUGGG